GACAGAGGUGGCAAGCGUUGCUCGGAGUUACUGGGCAUAAAGGGCGCGUAGGCGGUCGUGCACGUCGAGGGUGAAAUCCCCGGGCUUAACCCGGGAACUGCCUUUGAUACGGCGCGACUCGAGUGCGGGAGGGGAGAGUGGAACUCCUGGUGGAGCGGUGAAAUGCGUAGAUAUCAGGAGGAACGCCGGUGGCGAAAGCGACUCUCUGGUCCGCAACUGACGCUGAGGCGCGAAAGCUAGGGGAGCAAACGGG
This 253-nucleotide ribosomal RNA is filed under the name uncultured bacterium. RNAcentral's name for it is "partial 16S ribosomal RNA". It matches the Rfam family "Bacterial small subunit ribosomal RNA", at positions 524 to 776 of the family's 1533-position model. The record is from RNAcentral.